UCAACGUUUAUACAGGUACUCGUUUGUGAUGGCGAGUAAAUACCUCCAAAUAAUAGAUUUUGGGUUACGUUUUCCAACUGAACACCAUGGAAUCAAGCGAGAUGAUCUACUCGGUUAACUUGAUGGACUUACAGACUAACAACUUCUGCAACGGUACUCCUUUUACUCCUCGCUUUCCAUCUUAUAUGUAUUAUUUGAGAAGAAGAAAACUUAAGCGACCACGCCUCAAAGGCAACUGAGACAUCUCAACUCUUCCAAAGAAAACCGUUUGAAGAUCAUGUAGCGACUGAGAAGUUCAUAACAAGUUGCCCAAUGAAAACUGUAGCAGGUUGAGUACUUUUUCAUUACCCUCGUCUCUUUCCUGUACUUGGUUCCAUAGCAGCAGUUGUAUAAUGUCGUACACCAUUCUAAACAACUCGUGCAAGGCUCUCAGUAGGUUCAUCAGUGGUGCAAUAACAGCUUCGUUUGGAUCACUCAUCCUGUUCUGUGCAAUGUCGGGUUAUUCCAGUUGUGUGGUGACAGACAAAACUGGUAGAUUUUAUUCCACACUAUUACAUCUACACUA
Actinia tenebrosa (Australian red waratah sea anemone) is the source of this 565-nucleotide long non-coding RNA. The record is from RefSeq and is a predicted model, not a curated record. Lineage: Eukaryota; Metazoa; Cnidaria; Anthozoa; Actiniaria; Actiniidae.